UCUCCGUAGGUGAACCUGCGGAGGGAUCAUUACAAGUGACCCCGGUCUAACCACCGGGAUGUUCAUAACCCUUUGUUGCCCGACUCUGUUGCCUCCGGGGCGACCCUGCCUUCGGGCGGGGGCUCCGGGUGGACACUUCAAACUCUUGCGUAACUUUGCAGUCUGAGUAAACUUAAUUAAUAAAUUAAAACUUUUAACAACGGAUCUCUUGGUUCUG
This 217-nucleotide unclassified non-coding RNA is filed under the name plant metagenome. RNAcentral describes it as "partial contains small subunit ribosomal RNA, internal transcribed spacer 1, and 5.8S ribosomal RNA". The record is from RNAcentral.